GCUUUCCUUUAGCUCAAUUUGUAGAGCAUUGUGCUAAUAGCGCAAAAGUCAUGGGUUCAAAUCCCAGGGAAAGCA
Danionella cerebrum is the source of this 75-nucleotide non-coding RNA. Lineage: Eukaryota; Metazoa; Chordata; Actinopteri; Cypriniformes; Danionidae. The record is from the annotation of a GenBank genome assembly.